Molecule: ribosomal RNA, 433 nt
Filed under: uncultured bacterium
Lineage: Bacteria
Description: partial 16S ribosomal RNA
Rfam family: Bacterial small subunit ribosomal RNA
Source: RNAcentral
AACGAACGCUGGCGGCAUGCCUAACACAUGCAAGUCGAACGAGACCUUCGGGUCUAGUGGCGCACGGGUGCGUAACGCGUGGGAAUCUGCCCUUGGGUUCGGAAUAACAGUUGGAAACGACUGCUAAUACCGGAUGAUGACGUAAGUCCAAAGAUUUAUCGCCCAAGGAUGAGCCCGCGUAGGAUUAGCUAGUUGGUGAGGUAAAGGCUCACCAAGGCGACGAUCCUUAGCUGGUCUGAGAGGAUGAUCAGCCACACUGGGACUGAGACACGGCCCAGACUCCUACGGGAGGCAGCAGUGUGGAAUAUUGGACAAUGGGCGAAAGCCUGAUCAAGCAAUGCCGCGUGAGUGAUGAAGGCCUUAGGGUUGUAAAGCUCUUUUACCCGGGAUGAUAAUGACAGUACCGGGAGAAUAAGCUCCGGCUAACUCCGUG